This is a long non-coding RNA of Cucurbita moschata (crookneck pumpkin), 914 nucleotides long. RefSeq lists it as uncharacterized. NCBI's taxonomy places the organism in Eukaryota, Viridiplantae, Streptophyta, Magnoliopsida, Cucurbitales, Cucurbitaceae. The transcript is spliced from 2 exons. The record is from RefSeq and is a predicted model, not a curated record.
CCCAAUGACUCCGUUCGAACCACCAAAUUCCCAAACACAAAACGCACCGUUCCGAGAGGGAAGCUUAGAAUGAGGAUUAUAACAAUCGAAAUCCCUAAUUUCCCUUUCACCAGACUGUAGCUUUUGCUCAUCGCUUUGAAUCCGUAAGAAUCUUCGAGAACGGAGACGACGUUCGAGAGCUGCCAGAUCGCCGUCAGGUAGAAGGCGCCGGCGAGGUAUAUGAUCUGGAUGAUGUAGAGAAGGAUGAUGACGCCGGCGCCGACCGAGCCGAAGAUGAGGAUGAUGAGGAAGAAGAGGAAGGAGAUGGCGAGGACGCUGGCGAUUGAGUAGCCGAUGAAGGAGAUGAACACGCAGAGGAAUGUGAGGAGGAGCCGUUUCCAGACCUUAGGAACGACGCUCAUCACUGGCUUGUAGGUGACGUCGCGGCCGGUGUAGAUCGACGCGACGGUGUAGACGACGGCGGAGGUGGAGAGAAGCGAGAGGAUGAUGAAGAUAACCAGGAAUAGAUCGGAGAUCUCCAUGUGAGCCAAGAACAAAAAGGAGAGGGGAAGAAUCAGAGCUAGAGUGAUUUGAGAGAAAAUCCUUCUCCAUGUGAAAAUUAAUUUGGCGGUUUCUCUGAAAAUUCCAUAGGUUCCGAGAAAUUGCAUCUCUUCUUGUUCGACAUCCAUGAUUAGGUGAUGAAGAAGAUGGGAGAAUUUGCAGAGGAACGAAGGAUUUUUGGAUGAUGGGAAGGAUUAAUAAGGAAAAAUUGGUCUUCUGAAUGCUUUUGAAUUGAGUUUGAAAAGUCUUUGUUUGGAAUGGACCAAAGAAAAACAAAAGCAAAACCAAUUGGCUUUAACAAUAAUUAAUAUAAAAAUAGUAAACUCUUAACUAUAUUUAUAGAGAAUUACAAUAUAAAUAGACAUUUUGAUUCC